This 1775-nucleotide ribosomal RNA is filed under the name Salmonella enterica. RNAcentral's name for it is "partial 23S ribosomal RNA". It matches the Rfam family "Bacterial large subunit ribosomal RNA", at positions 1045 to 2803 of the family's 2925-position model. Lineage: Bacteria; Pseudomonadati; Pseudomonadota; Gammaproteobacteria; Enterobacterales; Enterobacteriaceae. The record is from RNAcentral.
UCCCAAAGUCAUAGUUAAGUGGGAAACGAUGUGGGAAGGCCCAGACAGCCAGGAUGUUGGCUUAGAAGCAGCCAUCAUUUAAAGAAAGCGUAAUAGCUCACUGGUCGAGUCGGCCUGCGCGGAAGAUGUAACGGGGCUAAACUAUGCACCGAAGCUGCGGCAGCGACACUAUGUGUUGUUGGGUAGGGGAGCGUUCUGUAAGCCUGUGAAGGUGUGUCGUGAGGCAUGCUGGAGGUAUCAGAAGUGCGAAUGCUGACAUAAGUAACGAUAAAGCGGGUGAAAAGCCCGCUCGCCGGAAGACCAAGGGUUCCUGUCCAACGUUAAUCGGGGCAGGGUGAGUCGACCCCUAAGGCGAGGCCGAAAGGCGUAGUCGAUGGGAAACGGGUUAAUAUUCCCGUACUUGGUGUUACUGCGAAGGGGGGACGGAGAAGGCUAUGUUGGCCGGGCGACGGUUGUCCCGGUUUAAGCGUGUAGGUGUGUGUUCCAGGUAAAUCCGGUUCACUUUAACACUGAGGCGUGAUGACGAGGCACUACGGUGCUGAAGCAACAAAUGCCCUGCUUCCAGGAAAAGCCUCUAAGCAUCAGGUAACAUCAAAUCGUACCCCAAACCGACACAGGUGGUCAGGUAGAGAAUACCAAGGCGCUUGAGAGAACUCGGGUGAAGGAACUAGGCAAAAUGGUGCCGUAACUUCGGGAGAAGGCACGCUGACACGUAGGUGAAGUGAUUUACUCAUGGAGCUGAAGUCAGUCGAAGAUACCAGCUGGCUGCAACUGUUUAUUAAAAACACAGCACUGUGCAAACACGAAAGUGGACGUAUACGGUGUGACGCCUGCCCGGUGCCGGAAGGUUAAUUGAUGGGGUCAGCGCAAGCGAAGCUCCUGAUCGAAGCCCCGGUAAACGGCGGCCGUAACUAUAACGGUCCUAAGGUAGCGAAAUUCCUUGUCGGGUAAGUUCCGACCUGCACGAAUGGCGUAAUGAUGGCCAGGCUGUCUCCACCCGAGACUCAGUGAAAUUGAACUCGCUGUGAAGAUGCAGUGUACCCGCGGCAAGACGGAAAGACCCCGUGAACCUUUACUAUAGCUUGACACUGAACAUUGAGCCUUGAUGUGUAGGAUAGGUGGGAGGCUUUGAAGUGUGGACGCCAGUCUGCAUGGAGCCGACCUUGAAAUACCACCCUUUAAUGUUUGAUGUUCUAACGUGGACCCGUGAUCCGGGUUGCGGACAGUGUCUGGUGGGUAGUUUGACUGGGGCGGUCUCCUCCUAAAGAGUAACGGAGGAGCACGAAGGUUGGCUAAUCCUGGUCGGACAUCAGGAGGUUAGUGCAAUGGCAUAAGCCAGCUUGACUGCGAGCGUGACGGCGCGAGCAGGUGCGAAAGCAGGUCAUAGUGAUCCGGUGGUUCUGAAUGGAAGGGCCAUCGCUCAACGGAUAAAAGGUACUCCGGGGAUAACAGGCUGAUACCGCCCAAGAGUUCAUAUCGACGGCGGUGUUUGGCACCUCGAUGUCGGCUCAUCACAUCCUGGGGCUGAAGUAGGUCCCAAGGGUAUGGCUGUUCGCCAUUUAAAGUGGUACGCGAGCUGGGUUUAGAACGUCGUGAGACAGUUCGGUCCCUAUCUGCCGUGGGCGCUGGAGAACUGAGGGGGGCUGCUCCUAGUACGAGAGGACCGGAGUGGACGCAUCACUGGUGUUCGGGUUGUCAUGCCAAUGGCACUGCCCGGUAGCUAAAUGCGGAAGAGAUAAGUGCUGAAAGCAUCUAAGCACGAAACUUGCCCCGAG